RNAcentral lists this transfer RNA (32 nucleotides) under Reynosia uncinata. RNAcentral describes it as "partial transfer RNA-Phe". Lineage: Eukaryota; Viridiplantae; Streptophyta; Magnoliopsida; Rosales; Rhamnaceae. The record is from RNAcentral.
CGGGAUAGGUCAGCUGGUUGAGCAGACACUGA